Molecule: non-coding RNA, 2258 nt
Organism: Tetranychus urticae (two-spotted spider mite)
Lineage: Eukaryota; Metazoa; Arthropoda; Arachnida; Trombidiformes; Tetranychidae
Source: RefSeq, a predicted model, not a curated record
UUUUUGACUCUUUGCAUCACAAUAAGCUGAAUCAACCCAAAUGGGUUGAGUUGAUGACCACCGAAGUGAACCAAUUGGAGCUACACCAUAACGUAUCCCCUAUAAUUAACAAUUAAAAUAACAAUACAUUAUAAUCAAUUGGAUGAACAAGCAAAAUAAAAAUAACACUUUCAAGAGUAAGUAAACAAUUAGCCAAACUGAAGGGCCAAUUGAAAAUGAAAACAAUCUAAAGCCAUCUAUUGUAAUGUACAUUAACUAUUACAAUAAUUUAAAGAUGUUGCCAAACGGUCGUUUCAUUAACCCAUUCAGCUGUGUAAACUUAAUUGCGUCUUAAGGUUUAUUUUACUUUUUUAGCUGGACUUUCCAUUUAUUUAUUAGCUUGGAUACAAAACCAAAAUGUGCCCGUUAAACAAGCCAAAACAAGCUGGAACAAGAUCUGGUUUUACUGAUUCUUUUCAAACCAUCAUGUAUUGUCUAAUGAUUUAUGGCUUAAGGGUAUUGAAAGUUUCUUGUUUCCCUUGAAUCAAUGUUGUUAUAAACUCACAAGUUAUCGAUUAAAAUGGCUGGUAAGGUCAAAAGGAAAAGAUAAAGAUUAAAAUAGUCAAGCCAAAUGUUGGAGAAAGCAGGGAAAAUUGAACAAAAAAUGAUGGAGGCGUGAAUUUGGGCUGAUGAUAAAGAAAAAUAUCUUUAAGAGUUUAACUCAAACUGGGAUUGAUUGUGCUAAGAAAUUGUCUCUUCCUCAUUUUGCUUUCCCUUGUCUCGUUAUGCUUGUAACAAUCGGAUAUAUCUGAACAUUCAUCUUAACAUUUAACCAAGAACAAAAGAAGGAUAUUUCUCAUCACCAUCAUCAUCAUCUUUCUCCUUUCUUUCCCUCUAUUUUUAAUAUCGUAGCAACAUUAAUUUAAUUCCAUUGUUUUCACCAUCAUUAAUAUCUUUUUGGUGCCUCAACAAAGUAACAACAACAACAGCAACAUUUAUACACCAACAAGAACAACAAAACAACAUUAUCAUCAUGAAAAGUUACAACGCAAAAAUAGGAAAAGCUGACUGAAUGAAACAGCAUCAAGCUUUACAUGAUUAUUCCGCAUGCCUGUUAUUAUUGUUCCCAAGCCCACCCACCAAACGUUUUCUUGAAGUCUCUUGCAUGAUCAGCUACUAACUGGAUUACGAAGAUGACUACAAUAGAUGAUGGAUGGUAAAGAUGAUGAGUUUUAAUGCACACAAUCAACAAUAACUUGUACUAAGCAAUGUUUCCCAAAGUUUACUCGGACUCAAUCAUUUGGAUUUUUCAAAGCAACACAUUUCUUCAGCAGACAUCUAACUGAUCUACAGUAUGAAUCAACCAUGAAAAAACAAUUAAAACAAUUGUUUUCACCUACAACAGUACAACACUGUUAUCAGUACAUGAAUAAAAUGAUGGUUCAGUUAGCAAACAAAAAAAGCAAGUAAAUUAAGAUUUAGUGAAACAUAGCAUACAGUAUCCAUCAGCAACUUAAUCGUUAUCAUCGUAUAUAAUAUGAUACAUAUUAAAGCCUUUCAUCUUGUUUACUGAUUGUUCAUUACCCAAGAUUGUUUGCCGUUGAAAAUGUUACAAUCUUAUUAAAAGUAAUAACAUUUUAUUACAUUUUCAAUUUGCUUACAACAAGCAUAAGAUAGAACCAUCAUUUUCAAGCUUGCAAAAUUGAUUUUUAUCUUCAUUUCCACACCACCACUACCAUAAUCAUCAUCAUCACUACAACCAUCAUCAUCAUUCCAUUGAUUUAAAAAGAAGAAGAAGAGAGAAACUCGAAUCUUGCAAUCGUUUGACAAACAAAAAACUAUGCUUCACCAAAUUUACACAAACAAACUUCCAAAUCUUUUUCAAGUUCAGCCAACCUUCAAUGUAAUGGUGAAGGGAGAAAUUUUUUAAGAAAUGAUUAUUUUUAUUACUACUAUUAUCAUCAUGAUGAAGCUGACUAAAGCUAAUCAAAAUAAACCAUCGAGUACAAUUGAUUCAAAUAAGAUGAGGAAACAGAAGGUAAAUUCAAAUCAAAUGCAGUUGCCAGAUGAGGAUCAAAGUAAAAUAUUCAAUUAACCAACAAGGAUAAAUUGGAAUAAAAUUAAAAGCCAAUGUUUAUCAAAAGUAAAUUAAACAUGAAAAUUUCAAUUUCCACAAUCAAAUGUCUUCUCUUAUAUCAAUUCAACAGAUUAAUUGAGACUGAAACAAAGCGCAAUAAACAAUCAAGUUUACACCAAGCUUUCAGGUGAAAAGGGAAACU